Molecule: ribosomal RNA, 510 nt
Filed under: Macrothele yani
Lineage: Eukaryota; Metazoa; Arthropoda; Arachnida; Araneae; Macrothelidae
Description: SSU rRNA
Rfam family: Eukaryotic small subunit ribosomal RNA
Source: RNAcentral
CGCAAAUUACCCACUCCCGGCACGGGGAGGUAGUGACGAAAAAUAACAAUACGGGACUCUUUUGAGACCCCGUAAUUGGAAUGAGUACACUCUAAAUCCUUUAACGAGGAUCUAUUGGAGGGCAAGUCUGGUGCCAGCAGCCGCGGUAAUUCCAGCUCCAAUAGCGUAUAUUAAAGUUGUUGCGGUUAAAAAGCUCGUAGUUGGAUCUCAGUUCCAGACGGGCGGUCCGCCUAACGGUGGUUACUGCCUGGCCUGAACAGCCAGCCGGUUUCCCUAGAUGAUCUUCACCGGUUGUCUUGGGUGACCGGCACGUUUACUUUGAAAAAAUUAGAGUGCUCAAAGCAGGCGUGUAGCCUGAAUAAUGGUGCAUGGAAUAAUGGAAUAGGACUUCGUUUCUAUUUUGUUGGUUUUCGGAACACGAGGUAAUGAUUAAGAGGGACAGACGGGGGCAUUCGUAUUGCGACGCUAGAGGUGAAAUUCUUGGACCGUCGCAAGACGAACUACUGCGAA